UACGGAGGGAGCUAGCGUUAUUCGGAAUUACUGGGCGUAAAGCGCACGUAGGCGGCUUUGUAAGUUAGAGGUGAAAGCCUGGAGCUCAACUCCAGAAUUGCCUUUAAGACUGCAUCGCUUGAAUCCAGGAGAGGUGAGUGGAAUUCCGAGUGUAGAGGUGAAAAUUCGUAGAUAUUCGGAAGAACACCAGUGGCGAAGGCGGCUCACUGGACUGGUAUUGACGCUGAGGUGCGAAAGCGUGGGGAGCAAACAGG
Molecule: ribosomal RNA, 254 nt
Filed under: uncultured bacterium
Lineage: Bacteria
Description: partial 16S ribosomal RNA
Rfam family: Bacterial small subunit ribosomal RNA
Source: RNAcentral